CUCCUAUUGAAAUAAAACAAAAAGAAAAGAAAAAAAUAAUUAAUUAAUUACAAUCAUAGUUCUAAAUCUUUCAAAACAUUACAGAUAAAUCCUAAAUUCUCCACUACCGCCACUUUCACAACCCCACCAAGCCACCACCUAUAGAUCCAUAUAGCACCACUUUUCGACCACAACACAUAGGACUCCACCACCACCAGCGUCGCCUCACUCUCCCCAAUAUCCUCCUCCAUAGUAUUGGUCACAAAUCUGUUCAAAACAACCACAUUUACGUUGAUAGAGUCCGGUGGGCAUGGUGGUCGAAAGGUGGUAUUAUGUGAAUUUAUAGUUGGCAGUUUGAUAGGUUGUGAAAAUGGUGGUGGUUAAGAAUUUAUGAUUUUUUUAUAAUUUUUUAAAAAUUUAAGGACUAUGGUUACAGUUGGUAAUUCAUCUUUUAUUUUUGUUUUAUUUUAAUAGGAGAGUAAAAUCGUCAUUUUAUUGAAAAAUGGAUGAAAAUGACCUUUUGCGUAAUGAAUGGUGAAAUGUAGGGGUAAAAAUGCUAAAAAUGAAAUGUAGGGAUGUUUUGCACAAUAAUAUUGAAAGGUAAGGACCUUUUCUGCUAAUUAUGCUAAAAAAUAAAAGGUAGGGACGUUUUGCACAAUAACUUUGAAAGGUGGGGACCUUUUAUGCUAAUUACCUUUUUGAUUUAACGGAGCAUUUUAACGGAAAGUUGACAGAAGGACGUUUUGCGCAAAAAAAUGUAAAGGUAAGGGUGUAAUCCACCAAAAAAUGAAAGGUAUGUACGUUUUUCACAAAAACAUCGAAAGGUAGGGAUGUUUUAUGCUAAUUACCCUAGAUAAAACGUUAUCUUUAACUCUAAUUAUGAUAAAAAAUUUUAGAGAAAAUAUUUUAUGAAAAAUAAUUUUAUGAGGAUUAUGUAGUCAAAAAAUAUGAAAAAUUUAUAGCUAGUGCUCAAAAAAAAAAAAAAAAAAAAAAAAA
This 975-nucleotide long non-coding RNA is filed under the name Olea europaea (common olive). RNAcentral's name for it is "long non-coding RNA (OEUR_LNC004908)". Lineage: Eukaryota; Viridiplantae; Streptophyta; Magnoliopsida; Lamiales; Oleaceae. The record is from RNAcentral.